GAAUGCUGACAUAAGUAACGAUAAAGCGGGUGAAAAGCCCGCUCGCCGGAAGACCAAGGGUUCCUGUCCAACGUUAAUCGGGGCAGGGUGAGUCGACCCCUAAGGCGAGGCCGAAAGGCGUAGUCGAUGGGAAACGGGUUAAUAUUCCCGUACUUGGUGUUACUGCGAAGGGGGGACGGAGAAGGCUAUGUUGGCCGGGCGACGGUUGUCCCGGUUUAAGCGUGUAGGUGUGUGUUCCAGGUAAAUCCGGUUCACUUUAACACUGAGGCGUGACGACGAGGCACUACGGUGCUGAAGCAACAAAUGCCCUGCUUCCAGGAAAAGCCUCUAAGCAUCAGGUAACAUCAAAUCGUACCCCAAACCGACACAGGUGGUCAGGUAGAGAAUACCAAGGCGCUUGAGAGAACUCGGGUGAAGGAACUAGGCAAAAUGGUGCCGUAACUUCGGGAGAAGGCACGCUGACACGUAGGUGAAGUGAUUUACUCAUGGAGCUGAAGUCAGUCGAAGAUACCAGCUGGCUGCAACUGUUUAUUAAAAACACAGCACUGUGCAAACACGAAAGUGGACGUAUACGGUGUGACGCCUGCCCGGUGCCGGAAGGUUAAUUGAUGGGGUCAGCGCAAGCGAAGCUCCUGAUCGAAGCCCCGGUAAACGGCGGCCGUAACUAUAACGGUCCUAAGGUAGCGAAAUUCCUUGUCGGGUAAGUUCCGACCUGCACGAAUGGCGUAAUGAUGGCCAGGCUGUCUCCACCCGAGACUCAGUGAAAUUGAACUCGCUGUGAAGAUGCAGUGUACCCGCGGCAAGACGGAAAGACCCCGUGAACCUUUACUAUAGCUUGACACUGAACAUUGAGCCUUGAUGUGUAGGAUAGGUGGGAGGCUUUGAAGUGUGGACGCCAGUCUGCAUGGAGCCGACCUUGAAAUACCACCCUUUAAUGUUUGAUGUUCUAACGUGGACCCGUGAUCCGGGUUGCGGACAGUGUCUGGUGGGUAGUUUGACUGGGGCGGUCUCCUCCUAAAGAGUAACGGAGGAGCACGAAGGUUGGCUAAUCCUGGUCGGACAUCAGGAGGUUAGUGCAAUGGCAUAAGCCAGCUUGACUGCGAGCGUGACGGCGCGAGCAGGUGCGAAAGCAGGUCAUAGUGAUCCGGUGGUUCUGAAUGGAAGGGCCAUCGCUCAACGGAUAAAAGGUACUCCGGGGAUAACAGGCUGAUACCGCCCAAGAGUUCAUAUCGACGGCGGUGUUUGGCACCUCGAUGUCGGCUCAUCACAUCCUGGGGCUGAAGUAGGUCCCAAGGGUAUGGCUGUUCGCCAUUUAAAGUGGUACGCGAGCUGGGUUUAGAACGUCGUGAGACAGUUCGGUCCCUAUCUGCCGUGGGCGCUGGAGAACUGAGGGGGGCUGCUCCUAGUACGAGAGGACCGGAGUGGACGCAUCACUGGUGUUCGGGUUGUCAUGCCAAUGGCACUGCCCGGUAGCUAAAUGCGGAAGAGAUAAGUGCUGAAAGCAUCUAAGCACGAAACUUGCCCCGAGAUGAGUUCUCCCUGAGACUUAGAGUCUCCUGAAGGAACGUUGAAGACGACGACGUUGAUAGGCCGGGUGUGUAAGCGCAGCGAUGCGUUGAGCUAACCGGUACUAAUGAACCGUGAGGUUUAACCUU
RNAcentral lists this ribosomal RNA (1655 nucleotides) under Salmonella enterica. RNAcentral's name for it is "partial 23S ribosomal RNA". It matches the Rfam family "Bacterial large subunit ribosomal RNA", at positions 1292 to 2925 of the family's 2925-position model. Lineage: Bacteria; Pseudomonadati; Pseudomonadota; Gammaproteobacteria; Enterobacterales; Enterobacteriaceae. The record is from RNAcentral.